Molecule: long non-coding RNA, 1114 nt
Organism: Triticum aestivum (bread wheat)
Lineage: Eukaryota; Viridiplantae; Streptophyta; Magnoliopsida; Poales; Poaceae
Exons: 5
Source: RefSeq, a predicted model, not a curated record
GGUGCCGCUUCAGCCCUCCACUUCUCCCCUCUUUCACGAUCUCUGCGGCAGUGUCCGCUCGCCGCCGUGAUGGUGAUGGUAUCCCCAUGGCCGUGAAUUCACCCAUUGACAUCUCCUUCCCGUUCGCCUCAUCCUAAUCGGAUCCAUCAUCUCACUGGAUUUGUGACUGCAGUAUCAACGUACGCCUUCCCCUUUCCCUCUCUCUGCUCAGUUCCUCUUCCCAGUUGUCGCAGAUCCCUGUCUCUGCCACCGGUGUUCCUCGCGGCUGCUGAUCAAGUCCAAGCCGACAUCCCUGCCGCUAGGUUGCUGCCCUUUCUCCACGCCACCACUACCGCCCCAGGUUGUUGCGCUACUGGUUCCGCAACGCUCCUCCCCAUACUGCAUCCCGUAAUCGGUCCUCAUCCCCAUCCCCGGCGGCGCCCUAGAUGGAGGUCGGCGCCUCGGCGGUAUAGGUAUACCUAUGGUGACCGCGCCCAACAGUAUCCACGGAGGCACAGAAUGCGGAGAGAUACACAGACCUGUAGAGGAUGGAGGAAGUGACUCGGUGAUCAACUAAUAGCUAGGCACACAAACAUGCUUGAUAUUCCCCCAUCUAUUUGUACGUGUUUGAUGUCUAGACACUGAGGCGCAUGCAAAACAGCUGACCAACGAGCCUGGGAAACUUUCCAAAGAUUCACAUGGCUUGGAUAUGCAAUUGCUUGAUGUUGUUGUCAUCACAUAGAAGCUCUUGUGGCCUAAUGGGUAAAGUGUAUGACUCUAAUCAGGUGAUUCGAGUACCACCAAAUGUGAUUACUUCAGUGCUGCCUAUGACCAUCUAAUUGAUACCCCAAUGGAAAAUUUCAAGGAUUAUAUUAAGGGUUCAAGGCUUCCUGACAAGUGACCAUAACGAUUGUUCAGGAAACUGCUUGUUUCCCUUGAGGAACAUGACGCUAAAGGAUCAAGGGUGUUUUUCAAUCAAGAGCUAUUAGUUACCUUGACCAUGUUGUAUAUCUUCUGAUUUCUUCAGUUAAAAGGUCACCGAUUGCUGAAUUGUGUCUUUUAUGCUAUAAUGAAUUACGAUUUGUAUAUCGUUAAUGCAGACAAAUGAAUUAUAUCAGUAAAUGUGGGCAAACGA